This 283-nucleotide long non-coding RNA is filed under the name Paramuricea clavata. Lineage: Eukaryota; Metazoa; Cnidaria; Anthozoa; Malacalcyonacea; Plexauridae. The record is from RNAcentral.
CCCCCCCCGUCGCCAAAAAAAUUUCGGUCAGUGUACCAUUUUAGGGGUCAAAAAUUUUUUCCGGACAUACCAAUUUUUCCGGACACACUCAAUUUUUCCGAAACCUAACAAAAUUUUUCAAAAAUCACAAAAUUUUCCACAAAUUUUACAGAAUUUUUCCAUUAUUACAAUUUGUUUCCAGGCCCUUUCUCUAAAUUUUUCAUACCCAAUUUCCGAGUGGGGGGGCACUGCCACACCGAGUGAGGGGGCAUUGCCCCCCCAGGCCCCCCCCCCCAGCUACGGG